RNAcentral lists this ribosomal RNA (253 nucleotides) under uncultured bacterium. RNAcentral describes it as "partial 16S ribosomal RNA". It matches the Rfam family "Bacterial small subunit ribosomal RNA", at positions 524 to 776 of the family's 1533-position model. The record is from RNAcentral.
UACGGAGGGUGCAAGCGUUAUCCGGAUUCACUGGGUUUAAAGGGUGCGUAGGUGGGUUGGUAAGUCAGUGGUGAAAUCUCCAGGCUUAGCUUGGAAACUGCCAUUGAUACUAUCAGUCUUGAAUACCGUGGAGAUGAGCGGAAUAUGUCAUGUAGCGGUGAAAUGCUUAGAUAUGACAUAGAACACCAAUUGCGAAGGCAGCUGGCUACACAAAUAUUGACACUGAGGCACGAAAGCGUGGGGAUCAAACAGG